Cricetulus griseus (Chinese hamster) is the source of this 107-nucleotide small nuclear RNA. Lineage: Eukaryota; Metazoa; Chordata; Mammalia; Rodentia; Cricetidae. The record is from Ensembl.
GUGCUCACUUAGGCAGCACAUAUACUAAAACUGGAACAAUACAGAGAAGAUUAGCAUGGUCCCUGAGCAGGGAUGACAUGCAAAUUUGUCAAGUAUUCCAUAUUUAA